GAUGAACGCUAGCGGCAGGCCUAAUACAUGCAAGUCGGACGGGAUUGAAGAGCUUGCUUUUCAUGAGAGUGGCGCACGGGUGCGUAACACGUAUGUAACCUACCCAUAUCAGGGGGAUAGCCUCUCGAAAGAGAGAUUAAGCCCGCAUAAAAUCACAGUACAGCAUUGUAUAAUGAUCAAAUAUUUAUAGGAUAUGGAUGGGCAUGCGGAACAUUAGCUAGUUGGUAAGGUAACGGCUUACCAAGGCUACGAUGUUUAGGGGAUCUGAGAGGAUGACCCCCCACACUGGUACUGAGACACGGACCAGACUCCUACGGGAGGCAGCAGUAAGGAAUAUUGGUCAAUGGGCGGAAGCCUGAACCAGCCAUGCCGCGUGCAGGAAGAC
This 385-nucleotide ribosomal RNA is filed under the name uncultured bacterium. RNAcentral describes it as "bacterial SSU rRNA". It matches the Rfam family "Bacterial small subunit ribosomal RNA", at positions 28 to 412 of the family's 1533-position model. The record is from RNAcentral.